GAUGCAUGCGCGUUGGCAGACGCUGAGAGCUUCGUAUAUCAGGGGCGUGCUUUCUCUUCCUUUCUUUUGUGCGUGUGUGUUUUAUACAUGUCUGUUGCGCUGGCGUGUCGUGCCGUUUCCCAUUCCCAAGAGACACGAAGCGGCGACAGACUUGAGUGCUGGCAAUGCGCCGGGACAAAUGGCUGCCGCCAGACGCUAACAGAACCUGCGGACUUCUCGUCGUCACUGGUCACAACCGCCAAGCACUUCAGCUGUUCAACGGAUGCGCGUAUAUCCAUGGCGUGUCACACGUCGCUCACCUAGUGCACACAUGUCUUGACUGGCUUCGUUAUUGAGCACAGUGCUUCUAGCAUGGAAGAUGCACU
Dermacentor albipictus is the source of this 365-nucleotide non-coding RNA. The record is from RefSeq and is a predicted model, not a curated record. NCBI's taxonomy places the organism in Eukaryota, Metazoa, Arthropoda, Arachnida, Ixodida, Ixodidae.